AUCAAUUCUGAGCUGGUUCUAUACCCCCACUGAAGAGGAAGGAUGGAUCAAUUUUAAGUGGAUUGAAGCCUGCACUAGACAGCAUCCAAAGUUUUGGUGUCUUCCUGAGUCCUGUCUUUCUUCUCAAGGACGUUCUGAACAUGUGAAACCUGAGGACUGCAAGUAGCUCUAAGCAGCUUCACAUUCAGCAGAUCUUUCCUUUUGAGAAUCUGGAUAAACUCCAAAUAAUCUAAGAUGAUGGCUUGCAGGCCACCUGGAAAAAAAAAAGAUCUUCCUCUGAAGAAUAGGCUUGUUGCUCUACAGUGUUAGUGACCCAUUCCCUUUGACGAUCCCUAGGUGGAGAUGGGGCAUGAGGAUCCUCCAGGGGAAAAGCUCACUAUCACUGGGCAACAACCCUAGGCUAGGAGGCUUUACCAAGAUUCUUUCCUGAGCCCAGGUAGGAAGAUGAAGUCUCACAACAACCACCACACAUCAGAGGUGGCUCCUGAUUGUUCCCUUCUUAUCUGCCAAAUCAUUGUAUCCCCAAAACAAUGCAGAGAGCAAGAAAUUUGAACACAUCAAAGGAAGAUCAACAUGCCUGGCAUGCUAACAUUUUAGAACAGCAGAAUGAAUGUGUAUUUCUUUGUCUAUUUUUUUUCUUGAAUCUCUUUGGUUUUCCUUCUCUGUCUAAAGUGUGUCUCAGCCAUUCCAUGAUUCUCUUGUUAGUUUCUUCUCUGUGUAUCUUUGUCUCAUUUUCUUGUUCCUAAGAGUUGUCUGUGCCUUGUCUUGGAUGUCUCUCUCCAGUUUUUUCAUUUUGUUAGUGAUUCUCUUUGUUCUCCUAGAUCUGGCUCUUCUUUCACUGUUCUUUCCUUUGUGUCUCUGUGUCACAUGAUGUGUGCUUUCUGUUCAUUUCUUGUUCUGCCUAUACCUCUCUUCUUGUUCUGUUGUGAACUCUGAUUUUUUGUCUUCCCUUACCCUUAUUGGUUUCACAUUUCACCUUUUUCUCAUUCUGCCUUCCCUUCUACUUUUUAUACUCAUUAUCUCAAAUUUCUGUGUCUCUUGGGCCAUUUUCUCUCUAUUUUGUCCUGCUUUGUCUCAGUGUCUCUUUUUCUCUCUGUUUUUUUUUCUGCUCUGUCUCAGUGUCUCCUUGCUCUUUGUGAUUUUUCCAUUUCAGCAUUCAUCUCUGUUCUCUUGUUUCUUCUCUGCUUUUCCCCUUCUACUCACCUUUGAGUAUUUCAGCCUCUUUGUGAGUCUGUGAUUCCCCCUCUUUGACUUUAUGCAGUCCUCUAUCCUUGCAUAUUUUUGUGCAUUUGUAUGAUCAUGUGUGUGUCUUUGUGACAAAGGGGCUUCCUAACCCCUUCCCAAUAGGUACAGUGUGUCAACUAUCAAAAUACACAUUGCAGAGCUGUUCGUUAUGCCAGGACACCCUGUGAGAUGACCCAAGACCUAUGAUGGACAGAAAGUGGAAGGCCCAUAAUGGAGAGAAGGCCCAAAGUAAAAGACAGAUGGUUUGAGACUUGAGACCUAAAGACAAAAAUGGAAAACCUGUCUCAAGAUAGAUGGAAACUUCAAGCUUGAGACCAUCCAAAGUCCUGACAACCAUGAUGUAAAAAGGUGGCCCUUGUUGGAUAGAAGACCUGACUGAGUUGGAUGGAAAGUUCAAGACUUGAGUUAGAUAGAAGUCCAAAGACCCAGAGUAGGAGACUGAAGGCCUAAGAAUGGGGACCCAUCGAAAGCCUGAGACAUAAGACACCAUGUCUAAGACCUGAGAUAAAAACUUUAGCUUGAAGAUCUAAGAUCCAAGGAUGGAAGGCCCCAGACACACAUAAAGACCCAGGACUCCAGCCUCUAGAUGGACAGAAGGUCAAAGAGAGAAAUCUAUCUCAAGGCUAAAUUAGGUGGGAAGCUAGACACCCAUGACACAGAAUCCAAGAAGGAUAGAAGCCCCAAGACCAAAGGAAAUCCCAAGAUGAGAACGCUAAACCCCAGCUUUUUUCUAUUGCCAUCCUUCCUACUCUUGGACAUUUUCAGUUCUCCCUUGACAGUUCUUAUGUUUCCAUUUAAGCCCACUUUUUUGAGAUGCCCUUUUAGAUGUUGCCAUUACCUUAAGGAAACAUAUCUUUACAUUGGCAAUAUUAUGCUUGGUCCAGUCUUAAGCCAAUUUUUAUCACAGUUUUGGGCCAUUUAUUGUUUGUUUUUUAAAUUUCCAUUUGUCUUUGCCUCCAAUUCACAUGAGAGAGACAUAUAGGUAACAUUGUAUUUCAGUUGUCCCUUUUCUUUAGGAGCUAUAGGCUGAUGAGCAAAGGCAAGCAUCAGGCUGUUGUGGGAAAAAAGGUGCUAGGCUAUUUAGAGAAAAUGUGAAGAGAUGUUCCAGGCCAAUGAGAAGAAUUAGACAAGAAAUACCCAGAUGUGCCAGACUGUUGAAGCACCAGCCAGAAAUACCUUACUUCUUUGAGCUUGGUUCCUGACAUCCUAAGACUACUGCUAUUGAUAAGAAUAAGAACAUACUAUCAUCUGAAUUUUUAUGGCAUAAAUGAAAUUAUGAACAAAUACAUUUUUAAAGGAAAUGGCUUCAUCUCUACCCUUCUGCCUAAAAGGGAAUCUAUGCCAAAUGUUCCAAUAAAUGGGAAGAUACACUUUGACUUGUGAACUGAUGUGAAAAUGCAGAAUCUUUGAUUUUUGAGUGUUUUGAAGAUUGAAAAAUCUUGCUCAGCAUGGGUGACCACCAAAAGCAAUCUAAAGCUAUCGACAUGUCACAACUGAGACAAAUUGGGGAAUGUGUUGUCUAAUGUGAAAUAAAAUGUACUGUUUUGAAAA
Long non-coding RNA from Lynx canadensis (Canada lynx), 2796 nucleotides. RefSeq lists it as uncharacterized. The record is from RefSeq and is a predicted model, not a curated record. The transcript is spliced from 6 exons. Lineage: Eukaryota; Metazoa; Chordata; Mammalia; Carnivora; Felidae.